CCAGCCACGGCGCGGCUCCCCUCCGCCACCCACGGCGUCGUGCGCAGGCGGCGAUGCCACCUCCAAGCCAGCCUCCCCUGACCUGCCGCUAGAUGGGAUCUUGUUUGCCCGCCGCGUCCGACAAGCCGACAGUCGCCGCUACCCCGGUUCUGCAGGGGAUAUGCACCGGCCUCCCCAACCUCCUUCAUCCAUGGAUCCGGCCUGCAUUUCGCGGCCGCCACAACCGGCCCCGCUGCUGCUACCCUCGGCGUCCAGCGGCGGCGUCCACAGGCUAUCCCCUCCGACAAACAGCGUGAGCUCCCCCUUCCUCCUAUCUGGCCUGGCCAUCAACCUCCUGCUGUUCGUCGAGUCCGGAUCCGUUGCGACCUCCCCCCGCACUGGAAUCGGGCUGACCUGCUCCCCGUGGAUCCGCCACCUCCCCCCAUGAUCUGGGCACAGCAGCGCCCCGGUGCAGCUCCUCCUCAACUAACCCCACGCCGGCGGCAAGUCGUGGGCCGUGUGCCCCUGCUCACAUGCUUCAGCGUGGAUUUCCGGGGUAGGAGCACGGGGCUUGGUGCGCUCGUCCACCCCCGACAACAUCAGGAGGCCACCUCGUGCAGCAACGUGGCCAAGGCGUAGACCUGGGGCUCGUUCCCCUCCUCUUCGGUAAUGUGUGGCUCUCCACAGUGCAUCACCUCGGCAAAGGUCCUCCCGGCGAGAUCCAGCUGGCCUUGCAGUUCGUCUGUCCUUGGCUGUGGCUGGGCUUCCUGUCCACUGCACUUCGCUUGGUUCGACCGCAAAGACGAGCUCCUCUUUGCCGAGGAGCAAAAUUCUUCAUCGUCCAGCUAAGGAUGCAGUCCAUCGGGGCGAUGUGCUGUCCACGACGAGCCCCAAUGCAGUGCAGAAAUGAAGAAACAUCAAAAAAGACAAACAAAAAUUGUACUGCGCUCCUGGGUGAUCAGUGCGGUGCCCCUGAUGCAGUUUGACAGCUCACUAUAGCAGUACAUAACGGCAGUAUCAUGUUUGAGAAAAGUUAUUUUUUGGAUGA
This is a long non-coding RNA of Triticum dicoccoides, 1027 nucleotides long. RefSeq lists it as uncharacterized. The transcript is spliced from 2 exons. The record is from RefSeq and is a predicted model, not a curated record. NCBI's taxonomy places the organism in Eukaryota, Viridiplantae, Streptophyta, Magnoliopsida, Poales, Poaceae.